This 87-nucleotide microRNA precursor is filed under the name Octodon degus (degu). Its description in RNAcentral is "microRNA 181a-1 (ENSODEG00000021107.1)". It matches the Rfam family "mir-181 microRNA precursor family". From Rfam's summary of the family: In this case the mature sequence comes from the 5' arm of the precursor. The extents of the hairpin precursors are not generally known and are estimated based on hairpin prediction. The record is from RNAcentral. Lineage: Eukaryota; Metazoa; Chordata; Mammalia; Rodentia; Octodontidae.
GGUUGCUUCAGGGAACAUUCAACGCUGUCGGUGAGUUUGGAAUUAAAAUCAAAACCAUCGACCGUUGAUUGUACCCUAUGGCCAACC